This 755-nucleotide ribosomal RNA is filed under the name Salmonella enterica. RNAcentral's name for it is "partial 23S ribosomal RNA". It matches the Rfam family "Bacterial large subunit ribosomal RNA", at positions 1 to 688 of the family's 2925-position model. Lineage: Bacteria; Pseudomonadati; Pseudomonadota; Gammaproteobacteria; Enterobacterales; Enterobacteriaceae. The record is from RNAcentral. RNAcentral also lists the same sequence under 1 other name.
GGGUUGUGAGGUUAAGCGACUAAGCGUACACGGUGGAUGCCCUGGCAGUCAGAGGCGAUGAAGGACGUGCUAAUCUGCGAUAAGCGCCGGUAAGGUGAUAUGAACCGUUAUAACCGGCGAUUUCCGAAUGGGGAAACCCAGUGUGACUCGUCACACUAUCAUUAACUGAAUCCAUAGGUUAAUGAGGCGAACCGGGGGAACUGAAACAUCUAAGUACCCCGAGGAAAAGAAAUCAACCGAGAUUCCCCCAGUAGCGGCGAGCGAACGGGGAGGAGCCCAGAGCCUGAAUCAGCAUGUGUGUUAGUGGAAGCGUCUGGAAAGGCGCGCGAUACAGGGUGACAGCCCCGUACACAAAAGCGCAUAUGCUGUGAGCUCGAUGAGUAGGGCGGGACACGUGGUAUCCUGUCUGAAUAUGGGGGGACCAUCCUCCAAGGCUAAAUACUCCUGACUGACCGAUAGUGAACCAGUACCGUGAGGGAAAGGCGAAAAGAACCCCGGCGAGGGGAGUGAAAAAGAACCUGAAACCGUGUACGUACAAGCAGUGGGAGCCCCACCACUAAGCCAGUGGUGAACUCCACAUACGCAUCCUUUGCUGAGGAUACGGUUAACGGAGCGAAAGCGACGUUCAACCGCAAAAGAAGCAGAGGGGGCUUAGUGGUGGGGUGACUGCGUACCUUUUGUAUAAUGGGUCAGCGACUUAUAUUCUGUAGCAAGGUUAACCGUAUAGGGGAGCCGGAGGGAAACCGAGUCUUAAC